Molecule: ribosomal RNA, 435 nt
Filed under: uncultured rumen bacterium
Lineage: Bacteria
Description: bacterial SSU rRNA
Rfam family: Bacterial small subunit ribosomal RNA
Source: RNAcentral
CAACGCGAAGAACCUUACCAAGCCUUGACAUCCUUCUGACCGUUCCUUAAUCGGAACUUCUCUUCGGAGCAGGAGUGACAGGUGGUGCAUGGUUGUCGUCAGCUCGUGUCGUGAGAUGUUGGGUUAAGUCCCGCAACGAGCGCAACCCUUAUCUUUAGUAGCCAGCAUUUAGGAUGGGCACUCUAGAGAGACUGCCCGGGUGAACCGGGAGGAAGGUGGGGAUGACGUCAAAUCAUCAUGCCCCUUAUGAUCUGGGCUACACACGUGCUACAAUGGCGGUCACAAAGGGAAGCAAAACCGUGAGGUCGAGCAAAUCCCAAAAAGGCCGUCCCAGUUCGGACUGUAGUCUGCAACCCGACUACACGAAGCUGGAAUCGCUAGUAAUCGCAGAUCAGAAUGCUGCGGUGAAUACGUUCCCGGGUCUUGUACACACCG